Long non-coding RNA from Bufo bufo (common toad), 152 nucleotides. RefSeq lists it as uncharacterized. The transcript has 3 exons. The record is from RefSeq and is a predicted model, not a curated record. Lineage: Eukaryota; Metazoa; Chordata; Amphibia; Anura; Bufonidae.
GCUGUAUUGUAUUCAGCCGAUCGGCAAUCCUCUGCGCUUCCUCACCAGGCUGACUGAGGGAAGAGCGAGCAUCUGACGUCACUGGGCUCGGCGCAUGCCCAGUGACAAAGAUGAAGCUCCUGCCCUCAGUCUCCUGCAGAUCGCACUGGCGC